GGAGGAGGGAAGCUGUGAGCUGAAUGCUUCUCAUCACUCUGUGUCCCCUGGGAAGGUCUGAGACUAGGGCCUAUAGAAGCAGCCCUAAUAGGGCCCUUCCUAAGCUCAGAUAGGUGGGUUUCCAGAGAACAGGGCUCCGUGUAAGGGCACACUGGGCAAUAGAUGCUGAGGAAGGCAGUGCAUAUGAUAAUAACCAUGAUCAAGACUGGGCAAAUGACUCAGUGGUAGAGUACUUAUAUUACAUGCUUGAGGUCCUAGGCAAGAUUCCCAGCACCACCUGAUUGUGGGAAAGAGAAAACCAAAAAAGAAUGUCAUAAAAAAAUUGCAGAGAGAUACUCAUCCUUCUCC
Erinaceus europaeus (western European hedgehog) is the source of this 348-nucleotide unclassified non-coding RNA. It matches the Rfam family "Nuclear RNase P". From Rfam's summary of the family: Ribonuclease P (RNase P) is a ubiquitous endoribonuclease, found in archaea, bacteria and eukarya as well as chloroplasts and mitochondria. Its best characterised activity is the generation of mature 5'-ends of tRNAs by cleaving the 5'-leader elements of precursor-tRNAs. The record is from Ensembl. Lineage: Eukaryota; Metazoa; Chordata; Mammalia; Eulipotyphla; Erinaceidae.